CGUAGGGUGCGAGCGUUAAUCGGAAUUACUGGGCGUAAAGCGUGCGCAGGCGGUUUUGUAAGACAGAUGUGAAAUCCCCGGGCUCAACCUGGGACCUGCAUUUGUGACUGCAAGGCUAGAGUACGGUAGAGGGGGAUGGAAUUCCGCGUGUAGCAGUGAAAUGCGUAGAUAUGCGGAGGAACACCGAUGGCGAAGGCAAUCCCCUGGACCUGUACUGACGCUCAUGCACGAAAGCGUGGGGGAGCAAACAGGGAUUAGAUACCCUGGUAGUCCACGCCCUAAACGAUGUCAACUGGUUGUUGGGUCUUUACUGACUCAGUAACGAAGCUAACGCGUGAAGUUGACCGCCUGGGGAGUACGGCCGCAAGGUUG
RNAcentral lists this ribosomal RNA (372 nucleotides) under uncultured organism. RNAcentral's name for it is "bacterial SSU rRNA". It matches the Rfam family "Bacterial small subunit ribosomal RNA", at positions 526 to 896 of the family's 1533-position model. The record is from RNAcentral.